RNAcentral lists this ribosomal RNA (253 nucleotides) under uncultured bacterium. RNAcentral's name for it is "partial 16S ribosomal RNA". It matches the Rfam family "Bacterial small subunit ribosomal RNA", at positions 524 to 776 of the family's 1533-position model. The record is from RNAcentral.
UACGUAGGGGGCAAGCGUUGUCCGGAAUCAUUGGGCGUAAAGCGCGCGCAGGCGGCCCUGUAAGUCCGUUGUGAAAGUCAAAGGCUCAACCUUUGAAAGCCGAUGGAUACUGCAGGGCUAGAGUCCGGAAGAGGCGAGUGGAAUUCCUGGUGUAGCGGUGGAAUGCGCAGAUAUCAGGAGGAACACCAAUAGCGAAGGCAGCUCGCUGGGACGGUACUGACGCUAAGGCGCGAAAGCGUGGGGAGCGAACAGG